GACGAACGCUGGCGGCGUGCUUAACACAUGCAAGUCGAACGGAAAGGCCCUGCUUGCCGGGUACUCGAGUGGCGAACGGGUGAGUAACACGUGGGUGAUCUGCCCUGCACUUCGGGAUAAGCCUGGGAAACUGGGUCUAAUACCGGAUAGGAGCCAUUUUUAGUGUGAUGGUUGGAAAGUUUUUUCGGUGUAGGAUGAGCUCGCGGCCUAUCAGCUUGUUGGUGGGGUAAUGGCCUACCAAGGCGGCGACGGGUAGCCGGCCUGAGAGGGUGGACGGCCACAUCGGGACUGAGAUACGGCCCAGACUCCUACGGGAGGCAGCAGUGGGGAAUAUUGCACAAUGGGCGCAAGCCUGAUGCAGCGACGCCGCGUGGGGGAUGACGGCCUUCGGGUUGGAAACUCCUUUCGCUAGGGACGAAGCUUUUUGUGACGGUACCUAGAGAAGAAGCACCGGCUAACUACGUG
RNAcentral lists this ribosomal RNA (465 nucleotides) under uncultured bacterium. RNAcentral's name for it is "partial 16S ribosomal RNA". It matches the Rfam family "Bacterial small subunit ribosomal RNA", at positions 28 to 507 of the family's 1533-position model. The record is from RNAcentral.